CAGCAGCCGCGGUAAUACAGAGAAUGCAAGUGUUAUCUGAAAUGAUUGGGCGUAAAGCGUCUGUAGGUGGCUUUUCAAGUCCAUCAUCAAAUCCCAGGGCUCAACCCUGGACAGGCGGUGGAAACUACCAAGCUGGAGUAUGGUAGGGGCAGAGGGAAUUUCUGGUGGAGCGGUGAAAUGCGUUGAGAUCGGAAAGAACACCAACGGCGAAGGCACUCUGCUGGGCCGACACUGACACUGAGAGACGAAAGCUAGGGGAGCAAAUGGGAUUAGAUACCCCAGUAGUCCCUGUCUCUUAUAC
Molecule: ribosomal RNA, 301 nt
Filed under: uncultured bacterium
Lineage: Bacteria
Description: partial 16S ribosomal RNA
Rfam family: Bacterial small subunit ribosomal RNA
Source: RNAcentral